UUAAGCGACUAAGCGUACACGGUGGAUGCCCUGGCAGUCAGAGGCGAUGAAGGACGUGCUAAUCUGCGAAAAGCGUCGGUAAGGUGAUAUGAACCGUUACAGCCGGCGAUGUCCGAAUGGGGAAACCCAGUGCAAUUCGUUGCACUAUCGUUAACUGAAUACAUAGGUUAACGAGGCGAACCGGGGGAACUGAAACAUCUAAGUACCCCGAGGAAAAGAAAUCAACCGAGAUUCCCCCAGUAGCGGCGAGCGAACGGGGAGCAGCCCAGAGUCUGAAUCAGCUUGUGUGUUAGUGGAACGGUCUGGAAAGUCCGACGGUACAGGGUGAUAGUCCCGUACACCAAAAUGCACAGGCUGUGAACUCGAAGAGUAGGGCGGGACACGUGGUAUCCUGUCUGAAUAUGGGGGGACCAUCCUCCAAGGCUAAAUACUCCUGACUGACCGAUAGUGAACCAGUACCGUGAGGGAAAGGCGAAAAGAACCCCGGCGAGGGGAGUGAAAAAGAACCUGAAACCGUGUACGUACAAGCAGUGGGAGCACCUUCGGGUGUGACUGCGUACCUUUUGUAUAAUGGGUCAGCGACUUAUAUUCUGUAGCAAGGUUAACCGUAUAGGGGAGCCGCAGGGAAACCGAGUCUUAACUGGGCGUUAAGUUGCAGGGUAUAGACCCGAAACCCGGUGAUCUAGCCAUGGGCAGGUUGAAGGUUGGGUAACACUAACUGGAGGACCGAACCGACUAAUGUUGAAAAAUUAGCGGAUGACUUGUGGCUGGGGGUGAAAGGCCAAUCAAACCGGGAGAUAGCUGGUUCUCCCCGAAAGCUAUUUAGGUAGCGCCUCGUGAACUCAUCUUCGGGGGUAGAGCACUGUUUCGGCUAGGGGGUCAUCCCGACUUACCAACCCGAUGCAAACUACGAAUACCGAAGAAUGUUAUCACGGGAGACACACGGCGGGUGCUAACGUCCGUCGUGAAGAGGGAAACAACCCAGACCGCCAGCUAAGGUCCCAAAGUCAUGGUUAAGUGGGAAACGAUGUGGGAAGGCACAGACAGCCAGGAUGUUGGCUUAGAAGCAGCCAUCAUUUAAAGAAAGCGUAAUAGCUCACUGGUCGAGUCGGCCUGCGCGGAAGAUGUAACGGGGCUAAACCAUGCACCGAAGCUGCGGCAGCGACACUAUGUGUUGUUGGGUAGGGGAGCGUUCUGUAAGCCUGCGAAGGUGACCUGUGAGGGUUGCUGGAGGUAUCAGAAGUGCGAAUGCUGACAUAAGUAACGAUAAAGCGGGUGAAAAGCCCGCUCGCCGGAAGACCAAGGGUUCCUGUCCAACGUUAAUCGGGGCAGGGUGAGUCGACCCCUAAGGCGAGGCCGAAAGGCGUAGUCGAUGGGAAACAGGUUAAUAUUCCUGUACUUGGUGUUACUGCGAAGGGGGGACGGAGAAGGCUAUGUUAGCCGGGCGACGGUUGUCCCGGUUUAAGCAUGUAGGCUGGUUGUCCAGGCAAAUCCGGAUAAUCAAGGCUGAGGUGUGAUGACGAGGCACUACGGUGCUGAAGUAACAAAUGCCCUGCUUCCAGGAAAAGCCUCUAAGCAUCAGGUAACAUUAAAUCGUACCCCAAACCGACACAGGUGGUCAGGUAGAGAAUACCAAGGCGCUUGAGAGAACUCGGGUGAAGGAACUAGGCAAAAUGGUGCCGUAACUUCGGGAGAAGGCACGCUGGUGUGUAGGUGAAGUCCCUGCGGAUGGAGCUGAGACCAGUCGAAGAUACCAGCUGGCUGCAACUGUUUAUUAAAAACACAGCACUGUGCAAACACGAAAGUGGACGUAUACGGUGUGACGCCUGCCCGGUGCCGGAAGGUUAAUUGAUGGGGUUAUCCGUAAGGAGAAGCUCUUGAUCGAAGCCCCGGUAAACGGCGGCCGUAACUAUAACGGUCCUAAGGUAGCGAAAUUCCUUGUCGGGUAAGUUCCGACCUGCACGAAUGGCGUAAUGAUGGCCAGGCUGUCUCCACCCGAGACUCAGUGAAAUUGAACUCGCUGUGAAGAUGCAGUGUACCCGCGGCAAGACGGAAAGACCCCGUGAACCUUUACUAUAGCUUGACACUGAACAUUGAGCCUUGAUGUGUAGGAUAGGUGGGAGGCUUUGAAGCGUGGACGCCAGUCUGCGUGGAGCCAACCUUGAAAUACCACCCUUUAAUGUUUGAUGUUCUAACGUUGGCCCCUGACCGGGGUUGCGGACAGUGUCUGGUGGGUAGUUUGACUGGGGCGGUCUCCUCCCAAAGCGUAACGGAGGAGCACGAAGGUUAGCUAAUCCUGGUCGGACAUCAGGAGGUUAGUGCAAUGGCAUAAGCUAGCUUGACUGCGAGCGUGACGGCGCGAGCAGGUGCGAAAGCAGGUCAUAGUGAUCCGGUGGUUCUGAAUGGAAGGGCCAUCGCUCAACGGAUAAAAGGUACUCCGGGGAUAACAGGCUGAUACCGCCCAAGAGUUCAUAUCGACGGCGGUGUUUGGCACCUCGAUGUCGGCUCAUCACAUCCUGGGGCUGAAGUAGGUCCCAAGGGUAUGGCUGUUCGCCAUUUAAAGUGGUACGCGAGCUGGGUUUAGAACGUCGUGAGACAGUUCGGUCCCUAUCUGCCGUGGGCGCUGGAGAAUUGAGGGGGGCUGCUCCUAGUACGAGAGGACCGGAGUGGACGCAUCACUGGUGUUCGGGUUGUCAUGCCAAUGGCACUGCCCGGUAGCUAAAUGCGGAAGAGAUAAGUGCUGAAAGCAUCUAAGCACGAAACUUGCCCCGAGAUGAGUUCUCCCUGAGACUUUAAGUCUCCUGAAGGAACGUUAAAGACGAUGACGUUGAUAGGCCGGGUGUGUAAGCGCAGCGAUGCGUUGAGCUAACCGGUACUAAUGAACCGUGAGGCUUAACCUU
RNAcentral lists this ribosomal RNA (2900 nucleotides) under Klebsiella pneumoniae MGH 35. RNAcentral describes it as "bacterial LSU rRNA". It matches the Rfam family "Bacterial large subunit ribosomal RNA". Lineage: Bacteria; Pseudomonadati; Pseudomonadota; Gammaproteobacteria; Enterobacterales; Enterobacteriaceae. The record is from RNAcentral.